This 267-nucleotide ribosomal RNA is filed under the name uncultured bacterium. RNAcentral's name for it is "partial 16S ribosomal RNA". It matches the Rfam family "Bacterial small subunit ribosomal RNA", at positions 524 to 788 of the family's 1533-position model. The record is from RNAcentral.
UACAGAGGGUGCGAGCGUUGUCCGGAAUCACUGGGCGUAAAGGGCGCGUAGGUGGCGCUCCAAGUCUGUGGUGAAAGCUCGACGCUCAACGUCGAGUCGGCCAUAGAGACUGGAGGGCUCGAGCACUGUAGGGGCAGAUGGAAUUCCGGGUGUAGCGGUGGAAUGCGUAGAGAUCCGGAAGAACACCGGUGGCGAAGGCGGUCUGCUGGGCAGUUGCUGACACUGAGGCGCGACAGCGUGGGGAGCAAACAGGGAUUAAGAAACCCC